UUUGCUUUUAAAUCUUUAAACAAGCUAUGAAAUUUUCGGUAUUUACAUUAGAAUACCACAUGAAGACUAAGAGACAAAAGGAAAAGGAACAGUGGUUUUGUUUUUUUUUUUUUUUAGAUUUUUUUCACCACCCAUUAAAGCUGAGCUGACCAGAUGUGAGAGAGUGGAGCCAUAGAGUGAUGAAGGGGGCCGUUUGUAGCACAACUGGUCAACCUGGCACCAAGCCAUUCGUCUCUACCUCCAUCUUCUGCUCACAGACCCCUCCCCCCCAUAUCUGUGCACUGCAAUCCUUUUAUAUGGAUUACUAGAGCUAUGCGAUUAAUGGACAAACAAUCAUCCCAUCUGCAGACAUCUUUCUUUGGGAUGUACCGGGUUGUCUGCCCAUUGGGUGACAUACAGUGGAGAAAAAGAAAUGUUUAAAAGAAAAUCCAAAAAUGUGAACCAGAUGGAAAUGGAAGCAUGGACACUCUGGGUGGCGGCCACUGCAUCUUGCUGGCGGUCCACCGGCUGGAUUCUACAUUGUUUCCUGGUGAUGGACUGAACUGUUUAACCAGAGGUCACUGCCCUAGAAGCCGUAGCCACUGCAGAUCAACAGAUCUGGAUGUUUUUGAAGUAAUUACACUGUCUCUCUCUCUCUCUGAAUACUGGGUCCUU
This is a long non-coding RNA of Cyprinodon variegatus (sheepshead minnow), 654 nucleotides long. RefSeq lists it as uncharacterized. NCBI's taxonomy places the organism in Eukaryota, Metazoa, Chordata, Actinopteri, Cyprinodontiformes, Cyprinodontidae. The transcript has 3 exons. The record is from RefSeq and is a predicted model, not a curated record.